UUAAAACUCAAAUUGAAUUUGACGGGGGCCCCGCACAAGCGGUGGAGCAUGUGGUUUAAUUCGAUGCAACGCGAAGAACCUUACCUACUCUUGACAUCCAGAGAACUUUCCAGAGAUGGAUUGGUGCCUUCGGGAACUCUGAGACAGGUGCUGCAUGGCUGUCGUCAGCUCGUGUUGUGAAAUGUUGGGUUAAGUCCCGCAACGAGCGCAACCCUUAUCCUUGUUUGCCAGCACUUCGGGUGGGAACUCCAGGGAGACUGCCGGUGAUAAACCGGAGGAAGGUGGGGACGACGUCAAGUCAUCAUGGCCCUUACGAGUAGGGCUACACACGUGCUACAAUGGCGUAUACAGAGGGCGGCAAGCUAGCGAUAGUGAGCGAAUCCCACAAAGUACGUCGUAGUCCGGAUUGGAGUCUGCAACUCGACUCCAUGAAGUCGGAAUCGCUAGUAAUCGUGGAUCAGAAUGCCACGGUGAAUACGUUCCCGGGCCUUGUACACACCGCCCGUCACACCAUGGGAGUGGGCUGCACCAGAAGUAGAUAGCUUAACCUUCGGGAGGGCGUUUACCACGGUGUGGUUCAUGAAUGGGGUGAAGUCGUAACAAGGUAACCGUA
Molecule: ribosomal RNA, 613 nt
Filed under: uncultured Photobacterium sp.
Lineage: Bacteria; Pseudomonadati; Pseudomonadota; Gammaproteobacteria; Vibrionales; Vibrionaceae
Description: bacterial SSU rRNA
Rfam family: Bacterial small subunit ribosomal RNA
Source: RNAcentral